RNAcentral lists this ribosomal RNA (482 nucleotides) under Micrococcaceae bacterium NiG08. Its description in RNAcentral is "bacterial SSU rRNA". It matches the Rfam family "Bacterial small subunit ribosomal RNA", at positions 79 to 570 of the family's 1533-position model. Lineage: Bacteria; Bacillati; Actinomycetota; Actinomycetes; Micrococcales; Micrococcaceae. The record is from RNAcentral. RNAcentral also lists the same sequence under 1 other name.
AUUGCUGGGGGGAUUAGUGGCGAACGGCUGAGUACACGUGAGUAACCUGCCCUUAACUCUGGGAUAAGCCUGGGAAACUGGGUCUAAUACCGGAUAUGACUCCUCAUCGCAUGGUGGGGGGUGGAAAGCUUUUGUGGUUUUGGAUGGACUCGCGGCCUAUCAGCUUGUUGGUGAGGUAAUGGCUCACCAAGGCGACGACGGGUAGCCGGCCUGAGAGGGUGACCGGCCACACUGGGACUGAGACACGGCCCAGACUCCUACGGGAGGCAGCAGUGGGGAAUAUUGCACAAUGGGCGGAAGCCUGAUGCAGCGACGCCGCGUGAGGGAUGACGGCCUUCGGGUUGUAAACCUCUUUCAGUAGGGAAGAAGCGAAAGUGACGGUACCUGCAGAAGAAGCGCCGGCUAACUACGUGCCAGCAGCCCGCGGUAAAUACGUUAGGGCGCAAGCGUUUAUCCCGGAAAUUAUUGGGCGUAAAAGAGCU